UAGCUUGCUAGAUAUGAUUAGUGGCGGACGGGUGAGUAACAUUUAGGAAUCUGCCUAGUAGUGGGGGAUAGCUCGGGGAAACUCGAAUUAAUACCGCAUACGACCUACGGGUGAAAGGGGGCGCAAGCUCUUGCUAUUAGAUGAGCCUAAAUCAGAUUAGCUAGUUGGUGGGGUAAAGGCCCACCAAGGCGACGAUCUGUAACUGGUCUGAGAGGAUGAUCAGUCACACCGGAACUGAGACACGGUCCGGACUCCUACGGGAGGCAGCAGUGGGGAAUAUUGGACAAUGGGGGCAACCCUGAUCCAGCCAUGCCGCGUGUGUGAAGAAGGCCUUUUGGUUGUAAAGCACUUUAAGCAGGGAGGAGAGGCUAAUGGUUAAUACCCAUUAGAUUAGACGUUACCUGCAGAAUAAGCACCGGCUAACUCUGUGCCAGCAGCCGCGGUAAUACAGAGGGUGCGAGCGUUAAUCGGAAUUACUGGGCGUAAAGCGAGUGUAGGUGGCUCAUUAAGUCACAUGUGAAAUCCCCGGGCUUAACCUGGGAACUGCAUGUGAUACUGGUGGUGCUAGAAUAUGUGAGAGGGAAGUAGAAUUCCAGGUGUAGCGGUGAAAUGCGUAGAGAUCUGGAGGAAUACCGAUGGCGAAGGCAGCUUCCUGGCAUAAUAUUGACACUGAGAUUCGAAAGCGUGGGUAGCAAACAGGAUUAGGUACCCUGGUAGUCCACGCCGUAAACGAUGUCUACUAGCCGUUGGGGUCCUUGAGACUUUAGUGGCGCAGUUAACGCGAUAAGUAGACCGCCUGGGGGAGUACGGCCGCAAGGUUAAAACUCAAAUGAAUUGACGGGGGCCCGCACAAGCGGUGGAGGAUGUGGUUUAAUUCGAUGCAACGCGGAAGAACCUUACCUGGUCUU
Molecule: ribosomal RNA, 908 nt
Filed under: uncultured sponge bacterium
Lineage: Bacteria
Description: bacterial SSU rRNA
Rfam family: Bacterial small subunit ribosomal RNA
Source: RNAcentral